GUUAAUGAGGCGAACCGGGGGAACUGAAACAUCUAAGUACCCCGAGGAAAAGAAAUCAACCGAGAUUCCCCCAGUAGCGGCGAGCGAACGGGGAGCAGCCCAGAGCCUGAAUCAGUGUGUGUGUUAGUGGAAGAGUCUGGAAAGGCGCGCGAUACAGGGUGACAGCCCCGUACACAAAAAUGCACAUGCUGUGAGCUCGAUGAGUAGGGCGGGACACGUGGUAUCCUGUCUGAAUAUGGGGGGACCAUCCUCCAAGGCUAAAUACUCCUGACUGACCGAUAGUGAACCAGUACCGUGAGGGAAAGGCGAAAAGAACCCCGGCGAG
Molecule: ribosomal RNA, 325 nt
Filed under: Escherichia coli
Lineage: Bacteria; Pseudomonadati; Pseudomonadota; Gammaproteobacteria; Enterobacterales; Enterobacteriaceae
Description: bacterial LSU rRNA
Rfam family: Bacterial large subunit ribosomal RNA
Source: RNAcentral